AAGAAAAACACCCAAACACCAUCUACACCCCUCACCCAUAAACCCCAAACCAGACAACAAACUAGGGACCCUAACAAUUUGGUAUCAGAGCCAGUUGUUAUGGGUGAAUCAGUUCAGGAACAGCUUUCAAAGCUCUUUGAGUUACUUCUAGCUGAACAGCAAGCUAACAAAGAUCGCAAUGAUCAGAUGGCUCAAGUUCACGCUAAACUGGCUGCCAUGUCUGCUGAAUUAGACGCAACAAAGCAGGGGUUACAUUCUGCCAGUGCAGAGAGUCAAGCUAAAUCACGGAGAGAUAAGGGAAUUUCAGGUACUUCGACUUCUGAACAGUCGGGAGGAAGUUCGUUUGUGCCUAAAUUCACGAAGCUUGAUUUCCCGCGCUAUGAUGGCCUGGAGGAUCCUUUGGGCUGGCUUAGCCGUUGUCAGCAUUUCUUCCGUCAUCAACAAACCCCUGAUGAGGAGAAGGUGAGCCUUGCUUCCUAUCACUUAGAGGGCAUUGCUCAAUUAUGGUACCUCCAGUUGCUGGAUGAUUUUCCAGACCCCAACUGGGAUGAGUUCAGUCAACAAUGUAACCUCCGUUUCGGCCCUCCAAUUCGCAGCAAUAAAUUAGGCGAGUUGGCUAAGCUUCGUCAAACAGGAACUGUGGCAGAUUACCAGAAUCAAUUUGAAGUAUUGGUAUCUCGCGCAGGUACUUUAACACAGCAGCAGAAGGUUCAAUUAUAUCUCAGCGGAUUACAAGAUUCUAUCUCAGUAGAAGUCGAACUACAUCAGCCCAAGGAUCUAGUAACCGCGAUGAGUAUUUCUCGGCUGUAUGAACGCAAGCUGUUCCCCCGUUCAGCAGCAGUGAAAGACCUUCGUCGCAACACAUUUCCAUCUGAUUUCCGUUCCAAUCGGUCAGUUAAACGGGUGUCUAGAGACGAGAUGGAUGAGCGCCGGAAAAAGGGCCUGUGUUUUAACUGUGAUGAGCAAUUUGUUCGCGGCCAUCAAUGUAAGAAGCUUUUCUGGAUUGAUUUGGAAGAACCAGAUGAGAAUGGUGAUACUUUCCCAGACCUCAAUCUAAAUCAGCCAGAAAUAUCUUUGCACGCCAUCACUGGUGUUCGAGGGCCCCAGUCCAUGCAAUUGUAUGGCAGCUGGAAAGGUGGUCGGGUUCUAAUUCUUAUCGACUCCGGCAGCACCCAUAGUUUCGUAUCUGCAUCAAAAGUUGAAGAGUUACAUGCCGAGGUUAAUGAAAGGAAUGGCUUAAAGGUUCACGUUGCAAACGGCGACCAACUUACCAGUCCAGGAAUCUGUAAGGACACCCCGAUUCUACUCGAAUCAAACUCCUUUAUGGUUGAUCUGUUUGUUCUUCCUCUAACUGAUUUUGAUGUCGUCCUGGGAGUAAACUGGCUAUGCACUUUGGGACCCAUUUUAUGGGAUUUUUCAGUCAUGAGUAUGAGUUUCUUCCAACAGGGGCAUCGGGUUGACCUUCAGGGGCUGACUUCUUCAUUUAAUACAACAAGGUCAGAUCUGCACAGUUUGCUCGGUUCCACCGCUUCUGAUAUACAAAUGCAGCAAUUAUUGGCAGAAUUUGCUCCUCUAUUCAAUGCUCCAACAGGGUUGCCACCUAGUAGAGCGUGUGACCACCGUAUUCCUCUUGAGCCAGGAGCAAAACCAGUGGUGGUCCGGCCCUACCGUUAUCCGCAUGGCCAAAAAGAUGAGAUUGAACAGCAGUGUGCAGCCAUGUUGAAACAGGGUAUAAUUCGGCCAAGCAGAUCUCCAUUCUCCUCCCCAGUGAUCUUGGUUCCAAAAGCAGAUGGGUCUUGGCGAUUAUGCGUCGACUACAGGGAAUUAAAUGCAAUANNNNN
This 1841-nucleotide long non-coding RNA is filed under the name Manihot esculenta (cassava). RNAcentral's name for it is "long non-coding RNA (MESC_LNC000559)". The record is from RNAcentral. Lineage: Eukaryota; Viridiplantae; Streptophyta; Magnoliopsida; Malpighiales; Euphorbiaceae.